CCUACGGGAGGCAGCAGUGAGGAAUAUUGGUCAAUGGACGAGAGUCUGAACCAGCCAAGUAGCGUGAAGGAUGACUGCCCUAUGGGUUGUAAACUUCUUUUAUAUGGGAAUAAAGUGUUCCACGUGUGGGCUUUUGUAUGUACCAUAUGAAUAAGGAUCGGCUAACUCCGUGCCAGCAGCCGCGGUAAUACGGAGGAUCCGAGCGUUAUCCGGAUUUAUUGGGUUUAAAGGGAGCGUAGGUGGAUUGUUAAGUCAGUUGUGAAAGUUUGCGGCUCAACCGUAAAAUUGCAGUUGAAACUGGCAGUCUUGAGUACAGUAGAGGUGGGCGGAAUUCGUGGUGUAGCGGUGAAAUGCUUAGAUAUCACGAAGAACUCCGAUUGCGAAGGCAGCUCACUGGACUGCAACUGACACUGAGGCUCGAAAGUGUGGGUAUCAAACAGGAUUAGAUACCCUUGUAGUC
This 460-nucleotide ribosomal RNA is filed under the name uncultured bacterium. RNAcentral's name for it is "partial 16S ribosomal RNA". It matches the Rfam family "Bacterial small subunit ribosomal RNA", at positions 338 to 795 of the family's 1533-position model. The record is from RNAcentral.